This 552-nucleotide unclassified non-coding RNA is filed under the name Hevea brasiliensis (rubber tree). Lineage: Eukaryota; Viridiplantae; Streptophyta; Magnoliopsida; Malpighiales; Euphorbiaceae. The record is from RNAcentral.
GGUAAGCAAUGUUGUGUUUAUCUAAAAAUGACAAAGUUUGGGGAUUUUCAAAACCAACAAUUUCGAACCGAAGUGAACUGAAUCAAUUUGACUUAGUUCCUCUCUCAGUUUGAUUACUAUUAAGGGUGUCCAAUCAGUUAGUUCGAUUCUGAACUGAACCGAACCAAAACGAAAAAACCGAAAUACUAAAAUCCUAAAAAAUAAAAACCGAAUCGAAUUGAAAUUAUAAAAUCGAAUUCGUUGGUUUUGAACAGAAAGCACAAGCAGAAUGCCCAACGCAUGAAGAUAAAGCACAACUUGAUUAUUUUAACAUAGUAAAAAAUGUUUUCUUCCUGAAGAACAAAGUACAAUAAGAAAACUUGGUUGAUGCCAAAGUAGAAUGAUGUGAAUUGUUGGGCACCACAAAUCGCUAAGGUAGCACCACGUGAGAAUAAGCCACCUAAGUAGAAUUCACUAUUGAAAAUCGGCUUGUAAUGGGAGGGUGCCUAGGGACUUGUUAACCUCUUACUAAGACUGUUCCUUAGCAAUGUGGGCCUAGGCCACUACUCUGUG